CUUGAAGGAGCUGAGAAUAGCAUGCACUGUAGCUCAAAUGGAGCGUGAAGGAGGCAUCAGUCCUCGAGUAUCACCUUUGGCACAAGUCCGUGAUGCAGGCAAUCUUUUNNNNNCCAGGGCAGGCUUUGCCCUUCCUGGUGUUGAUGUUGAUGAAUAUGUAGUUAGGUAUAGAAGUGCUCUGGAGCUGAUAGAGCAUCUGCGUGCAAUGGGUGAAACUAAUGCUCUUUUGCA
This 231-nucleotide unclassified non-coding RNA is filed under the name Hevea brasiliensis (rubber tree). Lineage: Eukaryota; Viridiplantae; Streptophyta; Magnoliopsida; Malpighiales; Euphorbiaceae. The record is from RNAcentral.